This 253-nucleotide ribosomal RNA is filed under the name uncultured bacterium. Its description in RNAcentral is "partial 16S ribosomal RNA". It matches the Rfam family "Bacterial small subunit ribosomal RNA", at positions 524 to 776 of the family's 1533-position model. The record is from RNAcentral.
UACAGAGGGUGCGAGCGUUAAUCGGAAUUACUGGGCGUAAAGCGUGCGUAGACGGCUAUCUAAGUCGGGUGUGAAAGCCCCGGGCUCAACCUGGGAAUUGCAUUCGAGACUGAAUAGCUAGGGUACGGUAGAGGGAAGCGGAAUUUCCGGUGUAGCGGUGAAAUGCGUAGAUAUUGCUCGGAAGGCCAACGGCGAAGGCAGGUUACUGGUGCGCAACUGACACUGAGGCACGAAAGCGUGGGGAGCAAACAGG